CGCGUUUCCCCUCUUUCCGCUCUCAUUGGCGCUCGAGUGCGCGCUUUCGCUGCCGACUGUUAAGUCUCGCUCUGCGUUUUGUGAAUCCUCGAAGCAAAACCUGCUCAGUGACGUGGUGACUUCAGCUGCAAGCACUUCCGGGAAGCCCAGCCUCAUCUGAGGCUCCUGCUGCAGCUCAGGUGAUAGAACCAACACUGAGCUAGGGGCGGAGGAACAGAAGAUGGGAGGAAAGAUUCAUCAUUAUCAUCAAUUCCUCUCACGAACAGAACAAAAACUUAAGAGGGCUGUACACAUUCAGAUCCUCUGCAUUUGGAAUCUGAAAUAAUGUGAGAAUGAAAAUUGGGAGCUUC
Molecule: long non-coding RNA, 350 nt
Organism: Aethalodelphis obliquidens (Pacific white-sided dolphin)
Lineage: Eukaryota; Metazoa; Chordata; Mammalia; Artiodactyla; Delphinidae
Exons: 2
Source: RefSeq, a predicted model, not a curated record